ACCUGCAGCGUUAGCUUCUCCUAGGCUUUCCCAGGGGAUGAUCUUUGAUGACAAAACAGUCCCAGGAGCAUCGCACAGCCUUCAUAUCUCUGCUGGGAGACAGGGCAUGAGAGUGAGAACAAAGCAAAGACAGAGGAGAGGCAGGAGGGGAGCCGAAACAACACCAAGGACAAGUUUUUCAAGAGCCCUUGACGAUGGCAAAGAAGUGCUAGCUCCAUUUUUUGGCUGCUGCUCUCAUUAAUUAACAUGAUUUUUGCUUCCAUUGUGAUGAGAAGCACUUCAGAAAGAUGCCAAAUAUAAACACGAAAAUUAACAGCAAAGUGAGAUGAAGCCAGAAGAUGUUGGAUGGGGAGACACAGCUAAACUUUCCCACACCAACACUUUAUCGUAUUCCUUUCCUUAUCUGUCCCUUCCCUUCAGAGAUCAUAAAUCCCCCAGAGAAGAGAAACCUUUAUGGUUGAGGCUGCUAAUGUGGAUGAAGAUUGCUGAAGGCCCCCUGGCCUCCUCACCUAUCUGCAGAACCCUUUGAGAGCAAGGGCAAAUGAAGAAAAUACAUACACCUGACAGGUCGGUUUUAAAGCUCUUCAAAGGUAAACUGUUUUCCCUGAACCUUCUGAAGCCACAGAACUGUACCGAAAUAAUAUUUAGAUAGAGUUCAAAAGCAUCCAAAUCCCUUUUCAGACUCCAGAGUCUACCACUUGAAUGCCACACAUCAGUGAAAACCACUACAAAGCCACCUGGGCCCAGCGAGCACGUGGCCCCGAGCAUCCCCUCCAGCCAGCAGUUUGAACCUUGGGAGGUGGAGUUCAUCCCAAAGCCCUCUUCUUCCAAACCUCCCUGGCAGCCCUUGUAACACCAGGUGUGGCACCCUGAAGUAGUGCAAACAGCUCACAUCAUCCUUAUCGAGAGAGAGCAUAAACAACCAAUUCAGCACCAGGCCUAACGUCCUAAAAUAACUCGUUAGCCUCCUUUUCCUCUUCUUCUCUUUCCCCUCCAGAAGUUUAUACCUCCAUCUUCUCAUCCAGCAGCCUCAGAACUAAAUUAUGUGCAUUUAAUCUGACCUUAUUAAUUCCUGCUAAACAGUAUACUUCAUUUUUGGUAAUA
This is a long non-coding RNA of Oxyura jamaicensis (ruddy duck), 1104 nucleotides long. RefSeq lists it as uncharacterized. NCBI's taxonomy places the organism in Eukaryota, Metazoa, Chordata, Aves, Anseriformes, Anatidae. The transcript has 2 exons. The record is from RefSeq and is a predicted model, not a curated record.